AACGAACGCUGGCGGCAUGCCUAACACAUGCAAGUCGAACGAGACCUUCGGGUCUAGUGGCGCACGGGUGCGUAACGCGUGGGAACCUGCCCUUAGGUUCGGAAUAACUCCCCGAAAGGGGUGCUAAUACCGGAUAAUGUCUUCGGACCAAAGAUUUAUCGCCUUUGGAUGGGCCCGCGUUGGAUUAGCUAGUUGGUAGGGUAAAAGCCUACCAAGGCGACGAUCCAUAGCUGGUCUGAGAGGAUGAUCAGCGACACUGGGACUGAGACACGGCCCAGACUCCUACGGGAGGCAGCAGUGGGGAAUAUUGGACAAUGGGGGAAAGGCUGAUCCAGCAAUGCCGGGUGAGUGAUGAAGGCCUUAGGGUUGUAAAGCUCUUUUACCCGGGAUGAUAAUGACAGUACCGGGUGAAUAAGCUCCGGCUAACUACGUG
Molecule: ribosomal RNA, 433 nt
Filed under: uncultured bacterium
Lineage: Bacteria
Description: partial 16S ribosomal RNA
Rfam family: Bacterial small subunit ribosomal RNA
Source: RNAcentral